Molecule: ribosomal RNA, 485 nt
Filed under: Bacillus subtilis
Lineage: Bacteria; Bacillati; Bacillota; Bacilli; Caryophanales; Bacillaceae
Description: bacterial SSU rRNA
Rfam family: Bacterial small subunit ribosomal RNA
Source: RNAcentral
UGGUCCGGAAUUAUUGGGGCGUAAAGGGCUCGCAGGCGGUUUCUUAAGUCUGAUGUGAAAGCCCCCGGCUCAACCGGGGAGGGUCAUUGGAAACUGGGGAACUUGAGUGCAGAAGAGGAGAGUGGAAUUCCACGUGUAGCGGUGAAAUGCGUAGAGAUGUGGAGGAACACCAGUGGCGAAGGCGACUCUCUGGUCUGUAACUGACGCUGAGGAGCGAAAGCGUGGGGAGCGAACAGGAUUAGAUACCCUGGUAGUCCACGCCGUAAACGAUGAGUGCUAAGUGUUAGGGGGUUUCCGCCCCUUAGUGCUGCAGCUAACGCAUUAAGCACUCCGCCUGGGGAGUACGGUCGCAAGACUGAAACUCAAAGGAAUUGACGGGGGCCCGCACAAGCGGUGGAGCAUGUGGUUUAAUUCAAAUCAACGCGAAGAACCUUACCAGGUCUUGACAGCCUGUGACUAUCCUAAAGAUAGGACGUCCCCUUCGG